UACAGAGGGUGCAAGCGUUAAUCGGAAUUACUGGGCGUAAAGCGUGCGCAGGCGGUUAUGCAAGACAGAUGUGAAAUCCCCGGGCUUAACCUGGGAACUGCAUUUGUGACUGCAUAGCUGGAGUACGGCAGAGGGGGAUGGAAUUCCGCGUGUAGCAGUGAAAUGCGUAGAUAUGCGGAGGAACACCGAUGGCGAAGGCAGUCCCCUGGGCCUGUACUGACGCUGAGGUGCGAAAGCGUGGGGAGCAAACAGG
This 253-nucleotide ribosomal RNA is filed under the name uncultured bacterium. Its description in RNAcentral is "partial 16S ribosomal RNA". It matches the Rfam family "Bacterial small subunit ribosomal RNA", at positions 524 to 776 of the family's 1533-position model. The record is from RNAcentral.